CUUCACGCUCAUCCAGGCAGCACAUGAAUGCUGUGUAACGACUUUAUUCAUGACUUCAUUUACAUUUUAAAAGAACCUUCUGAUCUGCAACGGAACUGAACAUUUACUCAUGAAGCCUAGAAGCCCGAUUCAAAUUGCCCAGGACACAAUGUUUCUGGAAUACUUUGCAUUCUACCGUACUUUGUGUGCUCAGAGCACAACCCCUGCUGAUUUCAGCAGCACCAAUGAAUGUAAGAUGUUCAUCUAGAAUCCCAAAUCAGAUAUAAGGAAAAUGAAGACAGUGCUGAUAGGAAAUUGCCCUGUAGCACAUAAAGCACAUUGUAGCUCAGUGUAUUAUGUACAGUUUAGAAGAGCACAGUUUCUAGAGCUUCACCUAUGAGCUUGCUCCUUCCCUGUCUUCUUAGGUCCUCUCUCUCCAAAAUUGCUGGACCUGUGCACCAGCUCAGGCCCAAAUCAGGCUGUUAGGUUCACUGGCCAUUAUCUGCCCAACAUACCUUUCCUUUUGCCAGGUCCAUCCCUUUGAGACUUUGUAAUGAAAUCAGCUCUCACACUUCUUAAAGCCUCUCUGUGCCUGGAUCCAGAAGGGCAUAGACAGAGCCUGAAGAAGAGUUUUCCACACAGAAUCCUGUAACUGUGGGAGCCCUGCUCAGACCCACCAGAGUCCCUGUCAGGGAAGGAGCUAACACUGCCAUGGGCAUCUGAGGGUUUGUUUGCUGGCAAGUUUCUGUUUGUGCUCUGACAAAUUUCUGUAUGUAAUUGUUUAAGGAUGCAAAUCUACGGGAGGUGAGUCUUAAAAUGGCCAAAGGUUACCUUCACCUUCAGAAAGAACAUCUUCCUGAGUUCAGACUCUCGUCCCAAACAGAGCUAAGGAACAAGGAUGUAGCUGCAGAAUCUGUUGUAGCAUUUGGAUCCUUUAAUAACAAAGGUUUUUCUCACUUAUCUGCUGGCCAUCACAAGCUGAACGUGGAACAGGCACUCCUGUGUGACAUCAAAGCUAAUUGCUGCACCAAAGUGACCGUUUCCCUGUGCAAUAUGAGGCAACAUGCUCUUUUGUCUGUCUUAUUCAGAAUCUAGCAUUUUCUGCAAUCUACACCAGAGAGCUGCAGUCACAUCAAUUUCUUAAUGGCUGUCCCUGAAAGACACAUCUCACCAAUCUUUAAAUGCACUACAAUUUCUCAUUCACAAGAGGAUAUCUUGCAAAAAUCUUCCUCCUUUAUUACUUGCUAUCACAGAUAUCAUUACAGCAGUUUAUUUAUGAACUGGUUCCAGUGAGCUCAGUUGGGAUCAUCAUUGGGAACAUCUUAGCUGGGAUGAAAUAUCCCACGUGUCUGAUCUGAGAAAUUCCCAGGUGCUUUACAGGAGAAGAGAGCAACAGUAAUAAAGUAAAAAGUCACAUUGCA
Molecule: long non-coding RNA, 1400 nt
Filed under: Phasianus colchicus (ring-necked pheasant)
Lineage: Eukaryota; Metazoa; Chordata; Aves; Galliformes; Phasianidae
Description: lncRNA (ENSPCLG00000001163.1)
Source: RNAcentral